GACGAACGCUGGCGGCGUGCUUAACACAUGCAAGUCGAACGAUGACGCCCGAACUUUCUCGGUCGGAUGAGUGGCGAACGGGUGAGUAACACGUGAGCAACCUGCCCUUCACUCUGUGAUAACCUCAAGAAAUUGGGGCUAAUACCGGAUAUGAGCUCCUGUCGCAUGGCGGGUGUUGGAAAGUUUUUCGGUGAAGGGUUGGCUCGCGGCCUAUCAGUUUGUUGGUGGGGUAGUGGCUCACCAAGGCGAUGACGGGUAGCCGGCCUGAGAGGGCGACCGGCCACACUGGGACUGAGACACGGCCCAGACUCAUACGGGAGGCAGCAGUGGGGAAUAUUGCACAAUGGGCGAAAGCCUGAUGCAGCGACGCCGCGUGCGGGAUGACGGCCUUCGGGUUGUAAACCUCUUUCAGCAGGGAAGAAGCGAAAGUGACGGUACCUGGAGAAGAAGCGCCGGCUAACUACGUG
This 467-nucleotide ribosomal RNA is filed under the name uncultured bacterium. Its description in RNAcentral is "partial 16S ribosomal RNA". It matches the Rfam family "Bacterial small subunit ribosomal RNA", at positions 28 to 507 of the family's 1533-position model. The record is from RNAcentral.